RNA transcript from Oryzias melastigma (Indian medaka), 4542 nucleotides. It is a transcript of the gene named inter-alpha-trypsin inhibitor heavy chain 5, with no coding region annotated. NCBI's taxonomy places the organism in Eukaryota, Metazoa, Chordata, Actinopteri, Beloniformes, Adrianichthyidae. The transcript is spliced from 15 exons. The record is from RefSeq and is a predicted model, not a curated record.
CAUCAUGUUCAGUUUUAGUUAGGCGGCGCGCGGCAGGAGGUUCAUCUGUGCGCAGCCGCAAAAAAUCUAAACAUGCGCUAAGUGUCGCAGCAGCGCGCGGGUUUUCCUUCACGUUUCUGGAAAGUUUGUCUCCACCCCUCCCUCGUGGGGCGCGCGGGUGGGACGUUGGGGGGGGGGGGGGUCUCCUCUCUGUGAUCCGGACUCCUCCGAUCCUCCGUCAUGACUUCUGCACGCGCGCGGAGGAAGAUGCUGCCGCUGCUGGUUCUGCUGCUGAGCGCGCUCAGCCGAACCGAGCAGCUCCAGUCCGAGCUGGACUCCGAGGACCUGGAGGACCUGGACUUGGACUUGAACCUGGAUCUGGAUCUGGCGCCGCGCAGAGUCCCGCGGCAGGUGAAGACCAUCCUGGCAAAGGAGACCAAACCUCACAUCCAGGAGCUUUCCAUCAAGACCACCAUCAUCUCCCGCUACGCCUUCACGGCGGUCCACUGCGCCAUGCUGAACCGGCACGUGGCCGCCGCGGAGGGGGUCUUCCAGUUCCAGAUCCCCGCCGACGCCUUCAUCUCCAACUUCACCAUGAUCGUUGGGGGGCGUGUCUACCAGAGCGAGGUCACAGCGAAGGAGAGGAAGGUCAAGCAAGGAAACGGCAAAGCCAAGAGCCAAGAGUCCGGUGAGAACAGUCCAGAACCGGAGGUGGAGGUCUUCCGGAUGGCGGUGAACAUCCCCGGGCGGAACCGGGCCGUCUUCCUGCUGACCUACGAGCAGCUGCUGCAGCGCCGGCUGGGCCGCUACCAACACGUCACCAGCCUGAGGCCGCUGCAGCUGGUCAGCCGCCUCAGCCUGGACGUGACCGUCGUGGACCACGCCCCCAUCACAGACCUGGAGGUGCUGCCGCUCCAAAGCGGCAGAACCAGCAGCUCUGCCAGCUCUGCAUCAGCCGGAUCCAACGCAGCAGCCAAGCCGGAGCUUCCCAUCACCACGGAGAUCAAACAGCAGCAGAACGUCUGGAGGAUCACCUUCAGCCCCAACAUCGUCCAGCAGGCCCGCAUCUCCACCAGCGGCGUCCUGGGAGACUUCGUCAUCCGCUACGACGUGCAGAGAGAGCUGGGGAUUGGAGACAUCCAGGUUCUGGACGGGCAUUUCGUGCACUACUUCGCCCCCAAAGACCUCCCCGCCGUCCCCAAGAACGUGGUGUUUGUGAUCGACACCAGCGCCUCCAUGCUGGGCGCCAAGAUGAGACAGACCAAAGAUGCUCUGUUCACCAUCCUGAAGGACCUGCGACCUGGAGAUCAUUUUAACUUCAUCAGCUUCUCCAAUAAGGUCAAAGUUUGGCAGCCGAACCGUCUGGUGCCGGUGACGCCACUCAACAUCAGAGACGCCAAGAAGUUCAUCCUCCUGCUGAUGCCCACCGGAGGCACCAACAUCGAUGGCGCCAUCCAGACGAGCUCCUCCGUGCUUCGGGACUACCUGUCCGGGUCUGACAGCGGUCCGAACAGCGUCUCCCUGAUCAUUUUCCUGACGGACGGACGGCCCACCACCGGAGAGGUGCAGUCGGCUACGAUCCUGGGGAACACGCGCUCAGCCGUGCAGGAGAAGUUCUGCAUCUUCACCAUCGGGAUCGGUAACGACGUGGAUUACCGGCUGCUGGAGCGCAUGGCGCUGGAUAACUGCGGGAUGAUGAGGCGGAUCCCCGAGGAGGCGGACGCCAGCGCCAUGCUUAAAGGGUUCUACGAUGAAAUAGGAACCCCUCUGCUGUCCGACAUAAGGAUCAACUACACAGAGAGCACGGUCGGAUACGUCACCCAGAACCUUUUCACCAACUACUUCAACGGCUCUGAGAUCGUCAUCGCCGGGAAGCUGACGAACUCCAGUGCAGAGUCCCUCCACGUGCAGGUCACCGCCAGCAACAACGACAAGAGCAUCGUCCUGGAGACCGACGUGCCUUUGCAGCAUCGACAGCUGGAGACUCGGAGGCACGUUAAGGAGGCCACCGCCGCAGUGGCGGCAGGAGCCAAAGCCCCAGCGUCAGGGUCGCUGUCAGGACUGGGCCUCCCUCUUGGUUCCAUCGCAGAACACUUUGCAGAGCGUGUCUGGGGUUUCCUGAGCGUCAAAGAAGGGCUGCGGUCGCGGCUGCGCAGUACCACCAGCAGAGAGAGAGAAGAUCACAUCCAACAGGCCACCAACCUGUCCUUGACCUACCACUUCCUCACUCCACUCACAAACAUGGUGGUGGAGAAGCCUGUGGUCCUAGCUGAUGGAACUAUGGAACCAGCCUCUACUGCAGCACCAGGGGGGGGCGAGGCUCCACCUGCUGCCAAUGACCUACCAGGUGAAGCCGAUGGUGAAACAGAACACGAGCCACUCAGGAGGCUGGGCAGCCAGACUGCCCCUUUGACCAACGUACUGGGUAAAGACAAGAGGAGACCGGCCAAGAAACCCAUCACCAUCUCCAAAACAUCAGCGGACGGUGACCCCCACUUUGUGGUCGAGUUCCCCCUCAGUAAGCUAACGGUGUGCUUCAACAUCAACGGUGAACCUGGACACGUCCUGCGCCUGGUUUCUGACCACAAACACUCCGGUGUUACAGCCAAUGGGAAGCUUGUCGGAGCUCCAGCUCCUCCAGGCAGCCAUAAGCAGCAGCGGACGUACUUCAGCAGCAUCACCAUCGUGGUGGACCGACCCAGACGGGCCUACAUCGAGGUGACCCCCAGGAAGGUCAUCCUGGACGGACGGGACCGCAUCGUCCUGCCCUGCCACUCCAGCGCUGCGGUGGACAGCGGCGUGCUGUCUGUGGCCAUCGUAGGGAAGGCCAAUGUGACCGUGACCAUCGGAGGAAACAUCAGCUUUGUCAUCUUGUUGCAUCACUACAAGAACCCGGCGCCUUACCAAACGGACCACCUGGGCUUCUACAUCGGCAACAGUAAGGGGCUGUCGGCCAACUGCCACGGUCUGCUGGGUCAGUUCCUGCACCAGGAAGUGGGUCUGGCGGAGCUUCCUGUUGAGGUGGGGGCUCAGCCGUCCACCGUCCUGAAGGUGAAGGAUCGGUCUGUGCCGGUGGUCCACAAAAGCAGGAGGAUCUACAGCGGCACGCAGAGCGUCGACUGCUGGUUCGCCCGCAACAACGCAGCCAAGCUGAUAGACGGCCGAUACGAGGACUAUGUGGCGCCGCACAUGUUUGACACGGGAGACUCGCCGCAGAGGACGAACCGGAUGUGAGGGGGCUUUGAAAAACCGACACAAAACUUUUUAAGCUUUUAUCACUUAAAGGAUGUUUUCCCACGCAGCUUAACCUGUCAGGAGGAUCCCACCUGGUUACCACGGAGACGUAACCCUUAUUGCUGUGAAGGGACACACACCUAACACACAGCAACACUUCCCUGUCAUCAGGUGGAGGUCACAGGGCUCCAGGCCCCGCCCCCACAGGUGUGUUCUGUCCAGGCCGUCUGUCAUCUCGCUGCCUCGCCGCAGGAAUUCAGCCGCAAACGCGGGUUCACCACGUGUCAAUCAUCUUUAUUCAAGUAUAGAGCGAUUCUCCUACACUGUAAAAAGUCAAACAUUUGAUCAAUUAGCACAAAUUCUGUCAUUUGGUAAAUUCAAAAUUAUUAGUUUUCAUCAAAUUAAAAUUUAGAGUUGAUGAUUUACUCAACUUAAAUAUAACAAAAGACAGAAUUUUUGCAAAUUGAUCCAAUAUUUUACUUUUUAUAAUGUAAAUGAACUAAAAUCUUCUCCUUUAAAAAUCGAAUUGACCACAAAUUGGACCAAAAAUAUAAAUAAAAGUUUUAAUAAACCACAGAUUUAACAUCCAAAACAUUUGGCCUGAAACGACAUUUACAUUUGAGUUCAUCUCUAUAAACACUUUAAAAAGUUUACAAAAUGAAACAGAAAAACUGAAAUUUUACAUUUAUGUUCCCAAAAUUUGCUGUCAUUUUCAUAAGUGUGUGUAUUCUAAUAUGGGAUGUUUAGGCAAAAUGACCUCAAAAACAAACACAAACGUCUGAUUUUUAUUGUUUUUGACUUUUAAAAAAAGAAAAGAACUUUGGUUACAUAAAAUGUUCUUAAAGCAAAUGAUUACUUUAAAAUCAGUGAGAAAAUAGCCCUUAAACACCAUAUCUAACAUGUAAAAUGAAAUAUUACAUUUAAUAUUAUUUUUACGUAUGAAAUAUUACAAGUUUAGAAUCCCGCCACUUUAAAGCAACAACAAAAAGAGUAAAAAAAGGUUCGAUUCCCUGUUUUCCUGGAAUUCAGACGGUCUGAACUCCGUCGUGUCGUGACCUUUCGACCUUUCCUCAUGAAUGUAACCUAAAAAAAAGGCUGAACACACGUGAAUUCAUACGACCUGAGCGAUCUCAGAAAUGUAAACAUGUUUUAUCCUGGAGCUGCAAACACCACCUGAGGAAUGACUGAGGCCGCAUCUCCAUUAAAGAAGGUGGUUUUACUCAAAAGUAGAGCAGGAACACAAUCUGUGAUAAAUGAGACCCAAAAAUUCCUGUUCUGUCUGUUAGAUUCUAGCCCUUGAGAUACUUAAUAAAAGUCUCCCUUCACACA